This 440-nucleotide ribosomal RNA is filed under the name uncultured bacterium. RNAcentral describes it as "partial 16S ribosomal RNA". It matches the Rfam family "Bacterial small subunit ribosomal RNA", at positions 339 to 795 of the family's 1533-position model. The record is from RNAcentral.
CUACGGGUGGCUGCAGUCGAGAAUCUUCCGCAAUGCGCGAAAGCGUGACGGAGCAAUGCCGCGUGCAGGAUGACGGCCUUCGGGUUGUAAACUGCUGUCACUCGGGAUGAAUUUUGACAGUACCGAGAGAGGAAGCCACGGCUAACUACGUGCCAGCAGCCGCGGUAAUACGUAGGUGGCGAGCGUUAUUCGGAUUUAUUGGGCGUUAAGGGUUCGUAGGAGGUAUGGUAAGUCUGAUGUGAAAUCCAGUGGCUCAACCACUGAACUGCAUUGGAUACUGCCAUGCUAGAGUAUCGGAGAGGUAAGCGGAAUUCCUGGUGUAGCGGUGGAAUGCGUAGAUAUCAGGAGGAACACCGAUGGCGAAGGCAGCUUACUGGACGAUAACUGACUCUGAGGAACGAAAGCUAGGGUAGCAAACAGGAUUAGAUACCCGUGUAGUC